GGGGGCGAUCGGUUUCGACGGGGAGUGCGAAGGCAGGGAAAGCGGGUCGAGGUGCCGUGGCCUCGUUAAACUGCGGCAAGCACGAUAAGUGCCAACAACGAACUGGCUUUUGCCUCUUAAUUAAAGCGGCCGUCCGACCCCUCCUUCACCCGGGAGGAAGGGAAGGGCGUCACCUAAACCGGGUUGCGGCCGGUCCGAUUCUCGGAGGGCCGGUCUAAGAGCAUCGAGAUGGCCGUGGCGGACCCGGUCCGCGGGGGCCGCAACGGCGAGAGCAAAGUGCGGACUGCACCCGGAGAAGUCUCUGCGGUAGCCUUUUCGGACGGGGGUUCGACUCCCCCCGCCUCCACCA
This 349-nucleotide transfer-messenger RNA is filed under the name bacterium. Its description in RNAcentral is "JAAYXC01 sp012516115 Standard tmRNA". It matches the Rfam family "transfer-messenger RNA". Rfam says of the family: Bacterial tmRNA, also known as 10Sa RNA or SsrA, is named for its dual tRNA and mRNA-like properties. Its role is to liberate the mRNA from a stalled ribosome. To accomplish this part of the tmRNA is used as a reading frame that ends in a translation stop signal. RNAcentral also lists the same sequence under 1 other name. The record is from RNAcentral.